UGGACUGGUACAUUUAAACCAAGGACCUAGGAGGAGAGUUAGAAAAAAAAAAAAAAAAAAAGCAAAGAAACCCUAGGAGCCACCAACCCCUCCCUUCUCCUCUUUCCUUCUACUCCUCCCUCCCCUUCUCCUUGCCCUAUUUUCCUCUAGCUCUGAUUCAGUCGAUUUUCACAGCAAAGCAUGUGGUAGAGGGUGGAGGAGAGUUAGAAAGAGAAGCUUCAGAUCUAGGGGUUUAUUCCUCAUUUUCGGUAUUUUCCUGUGCCUUGGCAGACCAUGAUGUUAUUUUCUUCUCUUGGUAGAUCUGGUUGUCUCUAUUAUGGAUCUGGAUGGCUUUGGUUAUGCAUCAUUUGUAGAGCAAAGUGUCGCUGUUCCUUUAGUCGGUGUUUUUUGGUUUCUUAGAUUUGGUAUAUUUUGUUAUUAAAGUUCAGAAACUCAAUGAGUUGUUUGGUUAUCUCUUGUAAUUCUCAG
This 468-nucleotide long non-coding RNA is filed under the name Prunus dulcis (almond). Its description in RNAcentral is "sRNA ncRNA". Lineage: Eukaryota; Viridiplantae; Streptophyta; Magnoliopsida; Rosales; Rosaceae. The record is from RNAcentral.